GCCUGUUUCCAGCUCAGUUCGUACAGCAUAGGACUUCUAAUCCCUGGGUCGUGGGUUUGAGCUGCACAGUGGGCA
This is a non-coding RNA of Podarcis lilfordi (Lilford's wall lizard), 75 nucleotides long. The record is from the annotation of a GenBank genome assembly. NCBI's taxonomy places the organism in Eukaryota, Metazoa, Chordata, Lepidosauria, Squamata, Lacertidae.